This 495-nucleotide ribosomal RNA is filed under the name uncultured bacterium. RNAcentral describes it as "partial 16S ribosomal RNA". It matches the Rfam family "Bacterial small subunit ribosomal RNA", at positions 28 to 507 of the family's 1533-position model. The record is from RNAcentral.
GACGAACGCUGGCGGCGUGCCUAAUACAUGCAAGUAGAACGCUGAAGGAGGAGCUUGCUUCUCUGGAUGAGUUGCGAACGGGUGAGUAACGCGUAGGUAACCUGCCUGGUAGCGGGGGAUAACUAUUGGAAACGAUAGCUAAUACCGCAUAAUAGUAGAUGUUGCAUGACAUUUGCUUAAAAGGUGCAAUUGCAUCACUACCAGAUGGACCUGCGUUGUAUUAGCUAGUUGGUGAGGUAACGGCUCACCAAGGCGACGAUACAUAGCCGACCUGAGAGGGUGAUCGGCCACACUGGGACUGAGACACGGCCCAGACUCCUACGGGAGGCAGCAGUAGGGAAUCUUCGGCAAUGGACGGAAGUCUGACCGAGCAACGCCGCGUGAGUGAAGAAGGGUGUCGGAUCGUAAAGCUCUGUUGUAAGAGAAGAACGAGUGUGAGAGUGGAAAGUUCACACUGUGACGGUAUCUUACCAGAAAGGGACGGCUAACUACGUG